This is a non-coding RNA of Drosophila melanogaster (fruit fly), 537 nucleotides long. Lineage: Eukaryota; Metazoa; Arthropoda; Insecta; Diptera; Drosophilidae. The record is from Ensembl.
CAACAUUUUAUCCGUCCGAUUUUUUGGAUGGCCCUUUCCCUCGGAAAUGUUUACCCAAUUUUUGGAUGUGCCAGUAAAUGGAAAAGUGAAAAAUCGUUUAUGAAUUUCGUGGGCUUUUGUUUUGAUUGCGACAAUACGUGAGAAGCAAUUAUACGGCGGCACAUGAAAGUGAGAUCCGGAAAUUGGCUUGAGUUUAUGUACAUGUAUACGCAUAAGAAGACCUUGGUUUUCCUGGAGUUCUGGGCGUGCAAACCGCAGGCAUUAAAGGGACAACUUUGUGCUCCCUUCAACUUUUGCCUCAUUUUUGUUUCUUUCGCUGGUUAAUUUUUGCGCCUCGCGAAAAGAAACAAAUUUUCAUGCAAAUGGAAAUGGAAAAUGCAAAUUAACAAGUUCCUUAAUGGCCUUGUGGGCGUAAGGGGGAGUGGCGGUUGCUGGUGUACACCUAUGGCUGUAAAACUGUGAGCUGAUUUCAAUUAAAAGUUGAGAGGAACGCAAGCGUCAGUGCUUCUAAAACUAUUGUGCAUAAGAAACCGUUUU